RNAcentral lists this ribosomal RNA (621 nucleotides) under Pantoea agglomerans. RNAcentral's name for it is "bacterial SSU rRNA". It matches the Rfam family "Bacterial small subunit ribosomal RNA", at positions 8 to 613 of the family's 1533-position model. The record is from RNAcentral. Lineage: Bacteria; Pseudomonadati; Pseudomonadota; Gammaproteobacteria; Enterobacterales; Erwiniaceae.
AGAGUUUGAUCCUGGCUCAGAUUGAACGCUGGCGGCAGGCCUAACACAUGCAAGUCGAACGGUAGCACAGAGAUCUUGCUCUCGGGUGACGAGUGGCGGACGGGUGAGUAAUGUCUGGGAAACUGCCUGAUGGAGGGGGAUAACUACUGGAAACGGUAGCUAAUACCGCAUAACGUCGCAAGACCAAAGAGGGGGACCUUCGGGCCUCUUGCCAUCAGAUGUGCCCAGAUGGGAUUAGCUAGUACGUGGGGUAACGGCUCACCUAGGCGACGAUCCCUAGCUGGUCUGAGAGGAUGACCAGCCACACUGGAACUGAGACACGGUCCAGACUCCUACGGGAGGCAGCAGUGGGGAAUAUUGCACAAUGGGCGCCAGCCUGAUGCAGCCAUGCCGCGUGUAUGAAGAAGGCCUUCGGGUUGUAAAGUACUUUCAGCGGGGAGGAAGGUGUUGUGGUUAAUAACCGCAGCAAUUGACGUUACCCGCAGAAGAAGCACCGGCUAACUCCGUGCCAGCCGCCGCCGGUAAUACCGAGGGUGCCAGCGUUAAUCGCAAUUCCUGGGGCGGUAAAGCGCACGCANGGCGGUCUGUCNAGUNCNGAUGUGAAAAUCCCCGGGGCUCAAC